This 715-nucleotide ribosomal RNA is filed under the name uncultured Bacteroidales bacterium. Its description in RNAcentral is "bacterial SSU rRNA". It matches the Rfam family "Bacterial small subunit ribosomal RNA", at positions 32 to 715 of the family's 1533-position model. Lineage: Bacteria; Pseudomonadati; Bacteroidota; Bacteroidia; Bacteroidales. The record is from RNAcentral.
AACGCUAGCUACAGGCUUAACACAUGCAAGUCGAGGCGAAACNGAUAGAGAAAGCUUGCUCUUUCUAGGCGUCGACCGGCGCACGGGUGAGUAACGCGUAUCCAACCUGCCCAUACACUUGGCGACAACCUUGCGAAAAGCAAGACUAAUACCCAAUGACGUCUCUAGAAGAGCAUCUGAAAGAUGACUAAAGAGUUAGGCGGUAACAGAUGGGGAUGCGUCCGAUUAGCUAGACGGCGGGGUAACGGCCCACCAAGUGUCGACGAUCAGUAGGGGUUCUGAGAGGAAGGUCCCCCACACUGGAACUGAGACACGGUCCAAACUCCUACGGGAGGCAGCAGUGAGGAAUAUUGGUCAAUGGACGCAGAGCCUGAACCAGCCAAGUAGCGUGCAGGGAAGACGGCCCUAUGGGUUGUAAACCUGCUUUUAUAAGGGAAUAAAGUGAGUCUCGUGACGACGUCCCUUAUUGCAGGUACCGCACGAAUAAGGACCGGCUAAUUCCGUGCCAGCAGCCGCGGUAAUACGGAAGGUCCGGGCGUUAUCCGGAUUUAUUGGGUUUAAAGGGAGCGCAGGCCGGACAUUAAGCGUGCUGUGAAAUGCACACGGCUCAACCGUCUGCACUGCAGCGCGAACUGGAGGACUUGAGUACGCACAAGGUAGGCGGAAUUCGUGGUGUAGCGGUGAAAUGCUUAGAUAUCACGAAGAACUCCGAUUG